UCCCCCCAUCUUCAUCUUCAGCUCAUCCCUCCCCCCAAAAUCCACCAUAUCCAGACGAGUCGACGGAUCAGCCACCCAACAGACGCUGAGUGUGACAUCGCCGAAUCUCGAUGUAAAUGCUCUCUCUUGCUGAAUUUGGCCGAAAACUCUCUCUCUUUCUCUCUCUCAACGGAUCUCGUUUCUCUCACCGGAAUGUCUCUCUGUCUUGCUGGAUCUAUCUUGCCGGAGAUACUUUUAAGUGUUUUGUUCUCUAAUUUCUGGAUUAAAAAAAAUGUAAAGCAUAAAAGACUUUUAAGCAUAAAUUUCUCUCAGAUUUCGUCUCUCUGUCAGUAAGAUUGAUGUUUGUCUGCAUAUUUCUCCAAAGAGCUUCAGCCGAUUCGAAAUAUUUGGGCUCCAUUUUCGCAUCAAGAAGAAGAGGGGCUCCCAUUCUAAACCAAGAAGAUGUCCGCUUCCUCCGUUUUAGCAAACGAGCUCCAUAUCGUAAGGUAUCAUUUGUAUAGAGAUGAAGAUAUCUUGGGAACUCUUCAUGUCAAGGGUUGGAUUGUUCUUGUUAAAUGGAGAAAAUAGGCUUUCUUGUCCCUGCAAUUGCAGACUGUUGUGCUGUUUUGCAAUUUUGUUACUUGUACUGAGUUUGACAUUUGUUAAAAAGAUAGUAAUUAUGAACUUGAUGAGGGAUUGCGCUAUUUUGUUUCCAAAUUGUAGGCUGCAACUCUAAUUAUAUGUUAACAUAUUACUUUACCAAAAAAAAAAAAAAAACGCAUAUUACUUUAGAGAUGCUCUGGUAACGAAGCAGAAGAUGCAUAGUUGGGGAUAUACUGGCCCGAGUCUCUGUCCUUUCUGCUAUGGUGCUUUUGAAAGCCGAGAACACCUAUUUUUUAGGUGUAGUUUCAGUUCUCGAAUCUGGCUUCAUUUGAUGACUGCUUGUUCUCUGGUCAAUGUGCCCUUGGAUUGGGAAGAUAUAAUAUGUUGGGGUGCAAAUGUGUUGCAAGGAAAAGGAUUGCGGGCUGCCUUGGGUAGACUAAGCUUGGGGGCCUCGAUUUACCACAUUUGGCGGCAGAGGAAUGAUUUGUUGCAUCACAAUGCUCCAAGGUAUGAGGAAGCUAUGUUGGUGCAGAUUAAAUGGGAAAUUCGUGUUAGAUUGUUGGCCAAAGGCAACUACAAGUGGAAGAAUGUGGAGCUUGCCGCUCGGUGGAAUUUUUAGUUGUUUUCUUGUUGUGUAGUUGCUGCUCUGUCCUGUAGUAUUUAGCCAUGAGGUUUGUGUUGUUGGUUGGGUUCAGUUGUGUUGGGUUUGCUGUAGCUAGUGUUUGUUUGUUUGUAUAA
Alnus glutinosa is the source of this 1320-nucleotide long non-coding RNA. RefSeq lists it as uncharacterized. The transcript is spliced from 2 exons. NCBI's taxonomy places the organism in Eukaryota, Viridiplantae, Streptophyta, Magnoliopsida, Fagales, Betulaceae. The record is from RefSeq and is a predicted model, not a curated record.